UCCUGCCAGGUCACAGGGCAGUAUUUCUCUGAAGCGGACAAUCUGCAGGAGUUCAGUCGUAAUGAAACAGGAUAAAGUGUGUUUUCGUAAACACGGAAAGGACGCAGGCUCACGCUGCGAAAACAGCUGUGAAAACUGUUGGUGUUUCGGAUUCUGACUUUCUCAGCUUCAACUUUUAAGAUAUUUAAUUCUUCACAGAAUAUUUAAACAGGAAACAGUGAUUCUGAAGGACAGAGCUGCAUAGUUCAUCAUUGACAAGCUAAUGCAUUUAUGGUCCGAAUAGCUCUCCUCACCCCCAGACUUCAGGCUUACAGUGGAAUCCAAGAAAACCAGUUCUCCACAAAGUGACUCUGUUCUCAAUCACACUGCCAAAAUAUGAAACUGCGUUCAUAAUUCAGAUGCCGUACACCAAGUACAUCUCCAGCAUGGAGGUCUCAAGAUCUUUUUGGAGUGCAAGGGCAUCACCUGUGCUUACAAAGAGGUGGAGCUCAGGUACGGACCCAGCUAUCACCCACAUCUGAAUUUCUCAUCUGCAGAGCCAGCUAUCGGGUACCAGCCUGAAUUUGCAAGUGCACAGUGACAGGCAGGCUUUGUGGGCGAGGGAAGAUAAGAAGUAGGUGCAAAGUUUGCAGCAGAUCAAUGUGGACAGCACGGACAUGC
Molecule: long non-coding RNA, 660 nt
Organism: Egretta garzetta (little egret)
Lineage: Eukaryota; Metazoa; Chordata; Aves; Pelecaniformes; Ardeidae
Exons: 3
Source: RefSeq, a predicted model, not a curated record